AAUGUUUCAUGUGGAAGUGCUUCAGGCUAACAGUGCACAACUGCUACUACAGCAGGCUGGAGUCUCCAAAAGACUCGUGCACAACUGAAAUCAUCCCCAGUUUCUGUAGCGUGUUGACGUCUGGAAAACAGUUCUUGGAGUUGUGGUGCAAUUAAUCAAAACUGCCCCCCCUUGUGGUGCUGCAGGGUCGUGUUGAGCCCCCCUGGAGAAGCAGUUAGACCACAGCAGCCCAUGCAGGCUGCCACCUCCUCCAGCCCGCAUGUGCUGCACGCUCGCUCUGGGCUGUCAGCAUGAGGCUGCAUCCAGCUGGAGCUUCGUUUCUGCAAACAGCAUUUUACUAAUUAGCCAAAAGUCGUCAAAAUAGCGCGAAUGUUCAUUUCAUUGGGUAGAUGAAGUAGCACUUGUCAAGCAUCAGGUCGUGAGGUCGAUAAAUAAUCAGCAUCUACAGGAAAGGCUUCAGAGAAGCAGCAGAAGAAGAGAGACGUUGUGACUCUUCCACAACCAGCCGGGCCGAAUGUGUCACAGGCGGCGGCGUAGUUAUGACCUCGUUACGUUUUUGUCUCGACCUUGAGAGAGCGGUCAUAAUGGCUACCCUGAUUUAGAACUCAGAGAAAGUGAACGAUGAUUGUUGCCCACACCGUGCCGGGAAAAGUGUUUCCGUUCACAGGGUUUUAUUCCAUUUGCAGUUCUGUGAGUUUUUUUCAACUCUUUCAGCUUCACAUCCGACACAAACGGUGUUGAGAAGAUCGGCCGUGUCGCUAACUAGUCACGAGCUUCAUUGAUGAGUGGACUGUCGACCUCUGACCCCUCAAAGUGCUUCUACAGUCUGCCUUCAUCCAGCGGGGGCAGAGACCAACUCGCCGGUGCCUCGUGCUCAUUGGGAGAAACCAGUUUUUGGUUAUUGUGUUCACACACUCGGAGAACUUUUGACUGGGAAAAGCUGCUGGAUCACAGGCCGGUACAAAAAGCUUUAAUGAGGAAAACGCCGUCAGCGGAUGACAACAGAACUCGCUGGAGUCUGCGAGAGGCUCUUUUGAUGGAUAAUUCGGAAAAUAAAAACAUAAGAACUCGGGCCAACUUGCACGAUCAAUUAUAACCCACGAAAAUAAAUGUUUUAAAUUUGCCCUCUUUGCUGCUGCACUGCUUUAAAUGGCUCUUCCCUUAUCUGUG
This 1170-nucleotide long non-coding RNA is filed under the name Takifugu rubripes (torafugu). RNAcentral describes it as "lncRNA (ENSTRUG00000029826.1)". The record is from RNAcentral. Lineage: Eukaryota; Metazoa; Chordata; Actinopteri; Tetraodontiformes; Tetraodontidae.